RNAcentral lists this transfer RNA (59 nucleotides) under Peloridora minuta. RNAcentral describes it as "partial tRNA-Met". The record is from RNAcentral. Lineage: Eukaryota; Metazoa; Arthropoda; Insecta; Hemiptera; Peloridiidae.
AGUAGCUAGCUAAGCUUAUGGGUUCAUACCUCAUACAUGGAACAAUCAACCCUUUUUUG